CCUACGGGUGGCUGCAGUGGGGAAUAUUGCACAAUGGGCGCAAGCCUGAUGCAGCGACGCCGCGUGAGCGAUGAAGGCCUUCGGGUCGUAAAGCUCUGUCCUAAGGGAAGAAUAAUGACGGUACCUUAGGAGGAAACCCCGGCUAACUACGUGCCAGCAGCCGCGGUAAUACGUAGGGGGCGAGCGUUAUCCGGAAUCACUGGGCGUAAAGGGUGCGUAGGCGGCCCUGUAAGUCAGGAGUUAAAUCCCUUGGCUCAACCGUGGUCAGCCCUUGAAACUGUAGGGCUUGAGUGCAGGAGAGGAGGGCGGAAUUCCUAGUGUAGUGGUGAAAUGCGUAGAUCUUAGGAGGAACGCCAGUGGCGAAGGCGGCUCUCUGGACUGGAACUGACGCUGAGGAACGAAAGCGUGGGGGGCGAGCAGGAUUAGAUACCCUUGUAGUC
This 440-nucleotide ribosomal RNA is filed under the name uncultured bacterium. RNAcentral describes it as "bacterial SSU rRNA". It matches the Rfam family "Bacterial small subunit ribosomal RNA", at positions 338 to 795 of the family's 1533-position model. The record is from RNAcentral.